AGCCUUUAGCAAGCCCCACUAUUAAAGGUGAUGCCUGCCCAGUGAUUUACUUAAACGGCCGCGGGAUCCUCCACCGUGCAAAGGUAGCAUAAUCACUUGUCCCCUAAAUAGAGACUAGUAUGAAUGGCCACAUGAGGAUUCUCCUGUCUCUUGUAGCCUAUCAAUGAAACUGAUCUUUCAGUACAAAAGCUGAAAUAAUAUCAUAAGACGAAAAGACCCUGUGGAACUUAAACCGGCAACCACCCAACAUGGCCCACCCGGUUUUAGUUGGGGCAACUAUGGAAUAAAACAAAACUUCCAACCGCACUCCCAGGUGGACACACCCACCAACACCACCUUGACCCAGUAAUACUGACCUAAGAACCAAGCUACCCCAGGGAUAACAGCGCUAUCCCCUCUUAGAGCCCCCAUCGACGAGGGGGUUUACGACCUCGAUGUUGGAUCAGGGCCCCCAAACAGUGCAGCAGCUGUUAACGGUUUGUUUGUUCAACAAUUAAUGCCCU
RNAcentral lists this ribosomal RNA (503 nucleotides) under Arthrosaura aff. reticulata PK2066V. RNAcentral's name for it is "partial 16S ribosomal RNA". It matches the Rfam family "Bacterial large subunit ribosomal RNA", at positions 1817 to 2597 of the family's 2925-position model. Lineage: Eukaryota; Metazoa; Chordata; Lepidosauria; Squamata; Gymnophthalmidae. The record is from RNAcentral.